Molecule: ribosomal RNA, 392 nt
Filed under: uncultured bacterium
Lineage: Bacteria
Description: partial 16S ribosomal RNA
Rfam family: Bacterial small subunit ribosomal RNA
Source: RNAcentral
AUACGGAGGAUCCGAGCGUUAUCCGGAUUUAUUGGGUUUAAAGGGUGCGCAGGCGGCCAUUUAAGUCAGCGGUUAAAUCGUGGGGCUCAACCCCAUUCUGCCGUUGAUACUGGGUGGCUUGAUUGCGGUCGAGGUUGGCGGAAUUCGUUGUGUAGCGGUGAAAUGCAUAGAUAUGACGAAGAACACCGAUUGCGUAGGCAGCUGACCAGACCGCAAAUGACGCUCAUGCACGAAAGUGCGGGGAUCGAACAGGAUUAGAUACCCUGGUAGUCCGCACAGUAAACGAUGAAUACUUGUUUUCGGCGAUAGAAUGUCGGAGGCAAAGCGAAAGCGAUAAGUAUUCCACCUGGGGAGUACGCCGGCAACGGUGAAACUCAAAUGAAUUGACGGGG